This 1168-nucleotide unclassified non-coding RNA is filed under the name Homo sapiens (human). Its description in RNAcentral is "BCL2-like 12 (proline rich), transcript variant 46". Lineage: Eukaryota; Metazoa; Chordata; Mammalia; Primates; Hominidae. The record is from RNAcentral.
AUGGGACGGCCCGCUGGGCUGUUCCCGCCCCUAUGCCCUUUUUUGGGUUUCCGGCCAGAGGCAUGCUGGGAGCGUCACAUGCAAAUUGAGCGUGCACCCAGCGUUCCGCCCUUUCUACGCUGGGCCGGUUAUCGACCCGGCCCAGUGCGCAGGCGCGGGAAAGUUGAACUAAUAAAGUUUGUACGAGUUCAGUGGAGGAGACCGCAAGUUGAGUGGAGGAGGCGGCGGUGGGGCCCCGGACCAGGUGCCUCCAUGGCAGGCUCUGAAGAGCUGGGGCUCCGGGAAGACACGCUGAGGGUCCUAGCUGCCUUCCUUAGGCGUGGUGAGGCUGCCGGGUCUCCUGUUCCAACUCCACCUAGGUAAGAGGAGUGGCCCUUCUCCCCCAGGGGCCAGCAUUUGAGGCUCCCUCCUAACUCUUGCUCCUGGUCUCAGUCUGUCUCCUCUCUUUAUAUCUGGCUCUAUUCUCUGUCUUUGGGGUUUUGGAGAGAGGUCCUCAGCGGGGGAGGGAGGGAGUUGGGGAAAGAGACUGCUUGCAGGGGAUCUCUGGUGGGGUCAGUCUCUGAAGUCCUCCUCUCCAGAAGCCCUGCCCAAGAAGAGCCAACAGACUUCCUGAGCCGCCUUCGAAGAUGUCUUCCCUGCUCCCUGGGGCGAGGAGCAGCCCCCUCUGAGUCCCCUCGGCCUUGCUCUCUGCCCAUCCGCCCCUGCUAUGGUUUAGAGCCUGGUAAGAGAUUUCCAUGAUCAUCUAUGAAGCCGGCAGAACACGGGAUAAGGCCCAGCUACUCCAGACUUCUAUGCUUUGGUGGCCCAGCGGCUGGAACAGCUGGUCCAAGAGCAGCUGAAAUCUCCGCCCAGCCCAGAAUUACAGGGUCCCCCAUCGACAGAGAAGGAAGCCAUACUGCGGAGGCUGGUGGCCCUGCUGGAGGAGGAGGCAGAAGUCAUUAACCAGAAGGAGGGCAUCCUGGCUGUUUCACCCGUGGACUUGAACUUGCCAUUGGACUGAGCUCUUUCUCAGAAGCUGCUACAAGAUGACACCUCAUGUCCCUGCCCUCUUCGUGUGCUUUUCCAAGUCUUCCUAUUCCACUCAGGGCUGUGGGGUGGUGGUUGCCCUACCUGUUUUUGCCAAAAAUAAAUUGUUUAAAACUUUUCUUAUUAAAAACGUUACAAAGUA